Oreochromis aureus is the source of this 1296-nucleotide long non-coding RNA. NCBI's taxonomy places the organism in Eukaryota, Metazoa, Chordata, Actinopteri, Cichliformes, Cichlidae. The record is from Ensembl.
CAAAAACGUGGAAGCACUUUUGCAAAUAUGUGAUAUUUUGAUAAAUUAAGUAGAUAUUUGAGCAUUACACAGCUACAUUGUCGCCUGAAAAUAUCUUAAAAGGUUAUUUUGUGACCCAGAAAGGGUAGUCUGGGGAAAAGGAGGAUCGCAUUUGUCGGCCAGGGUUGUCGGAGCCUGUGCGUACUUGUAAGCGCGGCAAUGGCGCAGGAGCGCCGCUGAAAAACUUAUUACUUUUUCUGGGUCACAAAAUAAACUUUUAAGAUAUUUUCAGGCGAGAAUGUAGCUGUGUAAAUUUCAAAUAUCUGCUCGAUUUAUCAAGACAUCACAUAUUUUCAUGCUUUGUGGCAGCUUUUGAACAUCUGUGGCAUCUAUUAAUGUCAAAUCUAGCCUUUAUUUAACAACAUAAGCAAACUCUAUGUUACAAUGAUUGCACAGCCAUUAAGGAUCAAAUCAGUUUCUGAAAAAUGUUCUGUUUUUCUCCCUCUGCUUGCUUCUUACUGUCUUUGAGGCUCGGGACCAGCACUCCUGCUGUUGGACAGAAAGACAUCAGUAAGUAUUUUGGUUUUCCAAUAUAUUAGCAGCUGUCAGUGACAUUUAUAUUAAUCAGGCUGAACUUUAAUCAUACUUUAGAUCAGCCUGUUUUACUUAUUGUUUUAUUUGUGCUUUGGUUUGGGGAAGUUGUUUCUUUACUGAUCUUUUCCUGUCUUCUGUUAUUAGACUUGAGAUAUGACUGCACUGUGCUGUUGCUGGUGACCACAGUUAAUUCUACAAGACAUGCUGUGACACCAGGAGAGAUGAGUCCUCCGUCACAGAUGGUGUGGUCAGUGAAGAUGGUCGCCUGCAGGUUCAAGCUCAUUGCAUCUCCAACCCACAUCCACUGCCACUGUACUUAAGGGAAGUUAAAGACUUUGUUCUGCACCUACAUUUGGAUCACCUCGAUCCAUGACAGUCAUUCAGGCAGUAAUGCCUGGACUGGAAACAAACAUCCUUAAAAUAAUACAACAUUCCAGCUCAUGUGUUGGAAUGGAAAACAAAUGUGUUGUUUAAAUUAGAGACUGCACUUGUGAGAGAAUAAUAUAUAUUUUAUUUUGAUUAUAUAAGUAAUGUAAGUACAAAACAAACUGUGGUAGACCUAAACUUAUUUUCAGAAUAAUUAAAUCUGAGACUUUGUUUCAUUGUAAGAUUAUAACAGUGAUGUCAAUAUAAUUGUUUGUUGUUCAGCAGAACAGUGUCCAGUAUGUUGGCUGUUAUACUUUGUUGUGUUUGAAAAUAAAAGUUGGGCUCAUUUUAACAUCA